RNAcentral lists this small RNA (85 nucleotides) under Oryza sativa Japonica Group (Japanese rice). Its description in RNAcentral is "sRNA Os06g0487660". Lineage: Eukaryota; Viridiplantae; Streptophyta; Magnoliopsida; Poales; Poaceae. The record is from RNAcentral.
CCAACCUCGCGCCCAGCCGCCUCCUGCUCGCGCUCCACGCCGCCUUCCUCGCGCUCCCUCCCCGACCGCGUCCGCCUCCGCGCCG